UGGGGAAUAUUGGACAAUGGGGGGAACCCUGAUCCAGCCAUGCCGCGUGUGAAGAAGGCCUUAUGGUUGUAAAGCACUUUAAGCGAGGAGGAGGCUCUUCUAGUUAAUACCUAGGAUGAGUGGACGUGUCUCGCAGAAUAAGCACCGGCUAACUCUGUGCCAGCAGCCGCGGUAAUACAGAGGGUGCGAGCGUUAAUCGGAUUUACUGGGCGUAAAGCGUGCGUAGGCGGCUUUUUAAGUCGGAUGUGAAAUCCCCGAGCUUAACUUGGGAAUUGCAUUCGAUACUGGGAAGCUAGAGUAUGGGAGAGGAUGGUAGAAUUCCAGGUGUAGCGGUGAAAUGCGUAGAGAUCUGGAGGAAUACCGAUGGCGAAGGCAGCCAUCUGGCCUAAUACUGACGCUGAGGUACGAAAGCAUGGGGAGCAAACAGG
This 428-nucleotide ribosomal RNA is filed under the name bacterium. RNAcentral's name for it is "partial 16S ribosomal RNA". It matches the Rfam family "Bacterial small subunit ribosomal RNA", at positions 355 to 776 of the family's 1533-position model. The record is from RNAcentral.